Molecule: ribosomal RNA, 468 nt
Filed under: uncultured bacterium
Lineage: Bacteria
Description: partial 16S ribosomal RNA
Rfam family: Bacterial small subunit ribosomal RNA
Source: RNAcentral
GACGAACGCUGGCGGCGUGCUUAACACAUGCAAGUCGAACGGAAAGGCCCUGCUUUUGUGGGGUGCUCGAGUGGCGAACGGGUGAGUAACACGUGAGUAACCUGCCCUUGACUUUGGGAUAACUUCAGGAAACUGGGGCUAAUACCGGAUAGGAGCUCCUGCUGCAUGGUGGGGGUUGGAAAGUUUCGGCGGUUGGGGAUGGACUCGCGGCUUAUCAGCUGGUUGGUGGGGUAGUGGCUUACCAAGGCUUUGACGGGUAGCCGGCCUGAGAGGGUGAACGGCCACAUUGGGCCUGAGAUAGGGACCAGACUCGUACGGGAGGCAGCAGUGGGGAAUAUUGCACAAUGGGCGGAAGUCUGAUGCAGCAACGCUGCGUGCGGGAUGACGGCCUUCGGGUUGUAAACCGCUUUCGCCUGUGACGAAGCGUGAGUGACGGUAAUGGGUAAAGAAGCACCGGCUAACUACGUG